Long non-coding RNA from Xiphophorus hellerii (green swordtail), 184 nucleotides. RefSeq lists it as uncharacterized. Lineage: Eukaryota; Metazoa; Chordata; Actinopteri; Cyprinodontiformes; Poeciliidae. The record is from RefSeq and is a predicted model, not a curated record. The transcript has 2 exons.
UUUUUUUCCAUCUCAUCAGCGAAGGCGUUCCCUAGAAACACUUUAUCUUUCCCUGUAGUGUGUGCGGCACAUUUACAGAUUGCUAGUUGUUUUGGUAGCUGCACAGCUUGUAGUAAAUCUUUUAAUAGGUCUGCAUGAGUUGCGAUAAUAAUGUGCUCAUACAGGAGAGAUGCCUCGCAGGCGA